This 601-nucleotide non-coding RNA is filed under the name Brassica napus (rape). Its description in RNAcentral is "Eukaryotic large subunit ribosomal RNA". It matches the Rfam family "Eukaryotic large subunit ribosomal RNA", at positions 1 to 664 of the family's 3401-position model. Lineage: Eukaryota; Viridiplantae; Streptophyta; Magnoliopsida; Brassicales; Brassicaceae. The record is from Rfam by way of RNAcentral.
CCAAAGUAAGAUUACUACUAUCCAGAGCAUAAAGCGUCACUUGACAUCACCUUGAAAAUCGGAUGUCUUCGGCGUUCGAAUUGUAGUCUGGAGAAGCGUCCUCAGCGACGGACCAGGCCCAAGUUCCUUGGAAAGGGGCGCCAGAGAGGGUGGGAGCCCCGUCGUGCCCGGACCCUAUCGCACCACGAGGCGCUGUCUACGAGUCGGGUUGUUUGGGAAUGCAGCCCCAAUCGGGCGGUAAAUUCCGUCCAAGGCUAAAUAUGGGCGAGAGACCGAUAGCAAACAAGUACCGCGAGGUAAAGAUGAAAAGGACUUUGAAAAGAGAGUCAAAGAGUGCUUGAAAUUGUCGGGAGGGAAGCGGAUGGGGGCCGGCGAUGCGUCCCGGUCGGAUGCGGAACGGAGCAAUCCGGUCCGCCGAUUGAUUCGGGGCAUGGACCGACGCAGAUUAAGGUGGUGACCUAAGCCCGGGCUUUUGUUACGCCCGCAGAGACGUCGCUGCCUUAAUCGUGGUCUGCAGCACGCGCCUCACGGCGUGCCUCGGCAUCUGCGUGCUCAGGGCGUCGGCCUGUGGGCUCCCCAUUCGACCCGUCUUGAAACAUGG